GACGAACGCUGGCGGCGUGCUUAACACAUGCAAGUCGAACGGAAAGGCCCUGCUUUUGUGGGGUGCUCGAGUGGCGAACGGGUGAGUAACACGUGAGUAACCUGCCCUUGACUUUGGGAUAACUUCAGGAAACUGGGGCUAAUACCGGAUAGGAGCUCCUGCUGCAUGGUGGGGGUUGGAAAGUUUCGGCGGUUGGGGAUGGACUCGCGGCUUAUCAGCUUGUUGGUGGGGUAGUGGCUUACCAAGGCUUUGACGGGUAGCCGGCCUGAGAGGGUGACCGGUCACAUUGGGACUGAGAUACGGCCCAGACUCCUACGGGAGGCAGCAGUGGGGAAUAUUGCACAAUGGGCGGAAGCCUGAUGCAGCAACGCCGCGUGCGGGAUGAUGGCCUUCGGGUUGUAAACCGCUUUCGCCUGUGACGAAGCGUGAGUGACGGUAAUGGGUAAAGAAGCACCGGCUAACUACGUG
RNAcentral lists this ribosomal RNA (468 nucleotides) under uncultured bacterium. RNAcentral's name for it is "partial 16S ribosomal RNA". It matches the Rfam family "Bacterial small subunit ribosomal RNA", at positions 28 to 507 of the family's 1533-position model. The record is from RNAcentral.